AUUCUUUGCCCACAGGGUGGAGUUCAUUUCUUUUGUUCUUGGAAGUUGAAUAGCAGAAAGGGACUUUUCAGCUUUUCCUGAUAAAGAGUGGGUCCUGCCUUCCCUUCUGUCUGGAAAUAACCAACACUCUGUGCUACAGGUAACAGUUCCAGAAAUUUAUAGAGCUUCUGCUGAAGGAGGAAGGGUCAUUCCGUUUAUGUGUUAUGGAAGAAAAGAGAUAUAUAGAAAAAUGUGGAUAGUACAGAUUGUGCUGUGAUGAGCAGCUUGAUGUUUCUUCAGUUCUGUCCCCUCAGUGCUAUGUGAAUCCUCUCUUGAGACAGAUGUAGCCUUCUUCCACCUAGGAGGAAUUAUAACUGAGUGUCUUGUACCUAAGAAUAAUUUAUGAAGGGAACAUUGAAGGGCAGUAUCCCACAGAAGUCACAGGAACAGCAAAUGAAGGAUCCAUCUUGUUCAUUCUAACCUACUUCCUAUGGUUUAGCAUAAGAAUGGAGAAAAAAGCAUUCUAUAAUUAUAUUGAU
RNAcentral lists this long non-coding RNA (518 nucleotides) under Meleagris gallopavo (turkey). Its description in RNAcentral is "lncRNA (ENSMGAG00000022107.1)". Lineage: Eukaryota; Metazoa; Chordata; Aves; Galliformes; Phasianidae. The record is from RNAcentral.